RNAcentral lists this ribosomal RNA (1000 nucleotides) under Klebsiella oxytoca. RNAcentral describes it as "bacterial SSU rRNA". It matches the Rfam family "Bacterial small subunit ribosomal RNA", at positions 494 to 1472 of the family's 1533-position model. The record is from RNAcentral. Lineage: Bacteria; Pseudomonadati; Pseudomonadota; Gammaproteobacteria; Enterobacterales; Enterobacteriaceae.
CGAGCUAAUUUCGUGCCCGCAAGCGGCGGUUAUAUCGGAGGGGUUCAAGCCUUAAUUGGAAUUAUGGGCGAAAAGCGCACGCCGGGCGGUUUCGUCCACGUAGGAGUUGAAAUCCCCGGGCCCCACCGUGGGGAACCCAUUUGGAACUGGCGGGCAGGAGUUUUUGUAGAGGGGGGGUAGAAUCCCAGGUGAGCCGGUGAAAUGCGUAGAUAUCCGGAGGAAUCCCCGGUGGCGAAGGGGGCCCCCCUGGACAAAGACAGACGUUCAGGUGCGACAGCGUGGGGGAGCAAACAGGGAUUAGAUACCCCUGGUUGUCCACGCUGUAAAACGAUGUCUAUUUGGAGGUUGUCCCCCUGAGGUGGGGCUUCCGGAACUAACGCGUUAAAUAGACCGCCUGGGGAGUACGGCCGCAAGGUUAAAACUCAAAUAAAUUGACGGGGGCCCGCACAAGCGGUGGAGCAUGUGGUUUAAUUCGAUGCAACGCGAAGAACCUUACCUACUCUUGACAUCCACGGAACUUAGCAGAGAUGCUUUGGUGCCUUCGGGAACCCUGAGACAGGUGCUGCAUGGCUGUCGUCAGCUCGUGUUGUGAAAUGUUGGGUUAAGUCCCGCAACGAGCGCAACCCUUAUCCUUUUUGCCAGCGGUCCGGCCGGGAACUCAAAGGAGACUGCCAGUGAUAAACUGGAGGAAGGUGGGGAUGACGUCAAGUCAUCAUGGCCCUUACGAGUAGGGCUACACACGUGCUACAAUGGCAUAUACAAAGAGAAGCGACCUCGCGAGAGCAAGCGGACCUCAUAAAGUAUGUCGUAGUCCGGAUUGGAGUCUGAAAAUCGACUCCAAGAAGUCGGAAUCGCUAGUAAUCGUGGAUCAGAAUGCCACGGUGAAUACGUUCCCGGGCCUUGUACACACCCCCCGUCAGGGGGCAUGGGAGUGGGUUGCCAAAAGAAGUAGGUAGCGUUACCUUCAGGAGCCCGCCCCGCCCCAUUUUUUGUAAUCAAC